ACCGGCGCACGGGUGAGUAACACGUAUCCAACCUGCCGUCUACUCUUGGACAGCCUUCUGAAGGAAGAUUAAUACAAGAUGGCAUCAUGAGUCCGCAUGUUCACAUGAUUAAAGGUAUUCCGGUAGACGAUGGGGAUGCGUUCCAUUAGAUAGUAGGCGGGGUAACGGCCCACCUAGUCUUCGAUGGGUAGGGGUUCUGAGAGGAAGGUCCCCCACAUUGGAACUGAGACACGGUCCAAACUCCUACGGGAGGCAGCAUG
Molecule: ribosomal RNA, 260 nt
Filed under: uncultured bacterium
Lineage: Bacteria
Description: partial 16S ribosomal RNA
Rfam family: Bacterial small subunit ribosomal RNA
Source: RNAcentral